Molecule: ribosomal RNA, 253 nt
Filed under: uncultured bacterium
Lineage: Bacteria
Description: partial 16S ribosomal RNA
Rfam family: Bacterial small subunit ribosomal RNA
Source: RNAcentral
UACGUAGGGUGCAAGCGUUAAUCGGAAUUACUGGGCGUAAAGCGUGCGCAGGCGGUGAUGUAAGACAGAUGUGAAAUCCCCGGGCUUAACCUGGGAAUGGCAUUUGGGACUGCAAGGCUUGAGUGCGGCAGAGGAGACUGGAAUUCCUGGUGUAGCAGUGAAAUGCGUAGAUAUCAGGAGGAAUACCGAUGGCGAAGGCAGGUCUCUGGGCCGAUACUGACGCUGAGGAGCGAAAGCGUGGGGAGCGAACAGG